Molecule: long non-coding RNA, 1148 nt
Filed under: Homo sapiens (human)
Lineage: Eukaryota; Metazoa; Chordata; Mammalia; Primates; Hominidae
Description: HSALNT0402240
Source: RNAcentral
AUUCCUCGUAGACGGGAUGGUUGUGAGCGGGACAGAAACUCCACCACAAGGGUUCUGGGGGUACUACAGGGACUAAAGGAAGCAGUGUGAUCAGUGUGAAAGCAGCAAGGCCAUGAUUUAUUUCUUGGGCGUGUAGUUUUCUCCCGAGGCCUCUGCUUGGUUAUUUUACCCAGCAUCGGUGCCAAAGGAGAUUUCCCCAAAGGGAAAAGUACUGCAGUGCUCGACGCAUUACAGUCCUUUCCCGUUUGCAAGCUCUCCCACACAUUCCUUCUUCUGUUCCCAAAUCACAGGAGACGACGAGAAAGAGAACAGACCACCUGUCCAGAUAAUUUGCCUUUGGAGUCUGCAGGGCUGGUGAAGGCAUCCUGAGAUGGGGGAGGCCCCUGGGGACCUCCACAGUCAGGGCUCCCACCUCCUCUCCCACACCGCUCUGCCUCAUGCCCUGGGUUGCCUGUCUGACUGUCUCAAGACUGGGGGUUCUCCGGUGAGCAGAUGGCUGCUUAGCGUCUGAGGGGCAGACACCAUGCCGUGGUGACAGCGUGAUCCCUUGAUGGAAAGGCCACCAGAACCACUGGUAGUGCAGCUGGACACUGCGGAGCCCUGGGACCACACCCGCUGCCUCCCUCCAGACUCCUUAGGUCUAUGCCGUGUGCCUGGCUUUUUCCAACCACUCCGAAUUGAUCAUUUCCUAAUGACCACAUGGCUCAGAAACUCACAGCACAUCCUUCUAGGGGCCUCUUUCUCCCAAGUCCUCCCAGGGACUUGGCAGCUUCAUCUCUAAGGCCUGCAGAGGCUGUGGCUAUGGCUGUCCAUUGUUCUCGCUCCUUGGCUUCAGUUCAGAGCCAUCAAAUCCCUGCAGCUCGCACACUGGAACAUUCAUAUUUUGGAUAAGCAGUCAACAAAACAGCUUCUAGAAAAUGGAAAACCCAGAGUGUGAUCUACCAGGAGCUCCUGGUUUCAACCAGUUCCUUGCUGUACCUGCUGGGCCUGUGAUACGAAGAAACAUCAUGGCUUCAAUGGCAGCCUUGGAAAUGAACUUCAUUGAAAGGGAAUUUACACUGAGGUUUAUGAUUGCUGCUAUGAAAAGAGUGCACAUCCUUUCCUUCGAAACACAAGACUAGAAAAAAAAAACUCUAAAAUUCAUACGG